Molecule: ribosomal RNA, 542 nt
Filed under: Bifidobacterium adolescentis
Lineage: Bacteria; Bacillati; Actinomycetota; Actinomycetes; Bifidobacteriales; Bifidobacteriaceae
Description: partial 16S ribosomal RNA
Rfam family: Bacterial small subunit ribosomal RNA
Source: RNAcentral
UCUCCUGGAAACGGGUGGUAAUGCCGGAUGCUCCAGUUGACCGCAUGGUCCUCUGGGAAAGCUUUUGCGGUAUGGGAUGGGGUCGCGUCCUAUCAGCUUGAUGGCGGGGUAACGGCCCACCAUGGCUUCGACGGGUAGCCGGCCUGAGAGGGCGACCGGCCACAUUGGGACUGAGAUACGGCCCAGACUCCUACGGGAGGCAGCAGUGGGGAAUAUUGCACAAUGGGCGCAAGCCUGAUGCAGCGACGCCGCGUGCGGGAUGACGGCCUUCGGGUUGUAAACCGCUUUUGACUGGGAGCAAGCCCUUCGGGGUGAGUGUACCUUUCGAAUAAGCACCGGCUAACUACGUGCCAGCAGCCGCGGUAAUACGUAGGGUGCAAGCGUUAUCCGGAAUUAUUGGGCGUAAAGGGCUCGUAGGCGGUUCGUCGCGUCCGGUGUGAAAGUCCAUCGCUUAACGGUGGAUCCGCGCCGGGUACGGGCGGGCUUGAGUGCGGUAGGGGAGACUGGAAUUCCCGGUGUAACGGUGGAAUGUGUAGAUAUCG